Molecule: long non-coding RNA, 616 nt
Organism: Toxotes jaculatrix (banded archerfish)
Lineage: Eukaryota; Metazoa; Chordata; Actinopteri; Toxotidae
Exons: 2
Source: RefSeq, a predicted model, not a curated record
AGCCAGCGACCACAAACCCGCUCCGCCAGGAAAGAUGGCGAGGGUGAUAGCGGAGCUACCUGGGCUAACUGAAGGCAUGAGGUGCUGGUUUGGCUCUGGAGACCCUCCUCAAGGACAGGGAACCUCUGAGGAGUAGGCUUCAUCAUUUUCAGGGGACUGCUCGCCUCUUCUUUUUCCAGCUCUUUAACUCCUCUCCCUGACAGAUGAACAGAUAGCCGAGGGUUUUAAAUUCAUAAGUGUAAAGAUGUCAGUGAUUUGGACUCCAGAGAAGAACGGUGGGGGGAGGGAGCUGUGGGAUGAGGUAGUAGUUUGUAUAGUUUUGGGAUCACACCAGAUCUGGGAGAUAACUAUACAGCCUACUGUCUUUCUCACGGCGUCCAAACCAUCACCUGCAUGACAGAGACUGCCGGACACGUCCACGUCUUGUUUCCACAGUGACUGUAGCCUCUGCGGUGAACACUGCAUUUGUUUUAGUGGUUGUAUUCUGUGUUGCUGUUGACAAAUCAGACAUCAGUCAGAAGACAAUGCCUGUCAUGUUAGUUUCAAUAUCCCUGCUGCUAACAUGCAAAAACAAAGAAAAAAAAACACACACACAUAUUACUGCAGCUCAGUUGCA